Non-coding RNA from Myotis brandtii (Brandt's bat), 73 nucleotides. The record is from Rfam. Lineage: Eukaryota; Metazoa; Chordata; Mammalia; Chiroptera; Vespertilionidae.
GCCCUGUGGUUCAGUGAUUAGAGCGUUGGACUGCAAACUGAAGGGUCAUGGGUUCAAUUCCCCAUCAAGGGCA